UUCCGGCGCGGCCCGGCGGCGGCCCGGGGAUGUGCGGUCCAGCGUCCCCGGGCUGGGGCGUCUUCGGCAGGUCCUUUGAGGCCGCGGCGCCCACUCUGCAACGUCGGUUGGGUUACAUUUUAAUGGAAGAGACUGUGUGGCCGAAAGGGGCUGCUAAGAACCAAACUAAUUCACGCUUCUGGGAGGGGGUGGCCACAUGGCCUGCCUCUUAGAAGCCACAUGGCAGAAACUGCGAGAACCUUAUCAGACACGAGCCCGAAACAGCUCGAGUGUCAUUUCCUGUGUAGGAGCGCUGGUCAGCUCCCUCUGCCACCCUUAGGGCACCUGUCGCUAAACCAGCCGACUAAGGCCACCAGCCCUCUGAGGCCGUCGUCCUGCUGUGGCGCCGCCUCCCGUCCACUCGUCCCCGUCCCCGGGUGACGACUGUUACCCUUCUCUGAAGCCAGAGGAAGGAACACGCCCUAGGCAGCUCCAGAGGGUCUCGUUUCCACCUUGUCCCCAUGUCGUGAUCAGUCACGUUUGGCUUUCCCUGCUUCCCAUCCGUCAGGUGGUAUUGCUUCUCUGAGUUUCAAGUUUCUCUCAUUUUGGUGACAGGCCGGUUUUGGUGAAAGUUACUGAAUAAGCACAAAGUGUGAUGAACGGAAAAUCCCACCAUGCUUAAAAAGAGUUACCAUAACCACGUGAAAGAAAUUCCAAGUACAAGACAUGGCAGUGACUCCGAGGCUCCAGAUCCCCAGCCCACCACCCUCUUCUGUCUUGAUGUGCGAGUUUCUAGACUUCUUUGAAACCGAUUAUCCUUAUCUGUAGCUUGCUUUGCAGCGAGGAUGACGUAGUAUGGAGCCUGAAGGAAGUUACGAGGGUGUCAGAAAAGCCGCCUGCUGGAGUCUGGGGACUGGCUGUCCACGCUCUACUAAAGGAAGAAAGGUGGAAGACUCGGAUCUCGUCGUGUGCGAUUCUCCCGAGUGGUGGUGCUGCUUGGUCCUCAUACUUGCUGUGCUAAGGUAUUUUCCUGUCUCUGCUUCCCCCACGGUUAGAACUUCUGCUGAACUUGUGGCCCUUUGGGGAAAUUUUUCUGCCAGACAUCAGUCCUUGUUCUCUGAUAUGAAACAGAUGGUUUCGGCAGCCUAGGGAAUAAUUGCCACACUUAAUACCUGCAGUGUUACAGUGUGUUUUAGACUUGGCCUUUUAUCUAAAAACUGCACGUUUAAGGAUUUUUUUUUUUUUUUUACUGACAUUGCUCACUUUACUGAGAAACAUGAUAAGGCUCUCUCCUUUACUUUAUAGUAAUGGCUCAUCCAAGGUCCUAGCCAGUGAGUCCACAUCACAGAAUGCUACAAUCUCUAAAGGGGCAUGUUUUAACAUAAACGCUACAGAUAAGAUGUAGGCUCAGCGUUCCUGCCAAAAGAAUCAGUAGAGCAUAAGAAAUGCACACCAUGGAUUGAACAGUUAAAGGUCAGUUCAGAGGUACAUCUGAGUUAGGGUAGGUGCUGGAUACUGAUUCUAUGAUGAUUGUGUUCAAAGGCUGUGUAACUCAGAAUUUGUCAGAAUGAAAUGCAGACAUGUUCAUGGCCAUUUGCUGUGCCUUGCACUGGGGAAUCUUGAUUAUUCCCUUGACAGUAAAACAGGAUUAUACCGCACUGGUGGGUCUGGGCAGGAUGGUUCAUGAGUGGGAGGCAGGGGGUGUUUCAACAGCAGGAAUCCUAAAAAUGCCUGGGAUGUAAGAUAAACCUUCCUCUGGCUAACAGCAGCAAUCAUUAGAUACCUUCACUUAGUCCUUGGUCACAAGCUCACCUUCAAAGCUCGCUCAGAUGACAGAGAUCACUGGCUGAAACAUGGUGAUUGCUGUGGGAGUCUUGACUAAAGGGAGGUGGAUGGAUGGAUAGGUAGAUGCCAGAUAGCUGUAGAGAGACAGAGAUAGAUAGGGAAGCUUCACCAGGUGCAGGAAAAGCCUUUUAGGAAGGAGCCGCCUCACACCACUAGGGGUAUGUUGUCAAGAUGGGCAGACCUUGAAAAAGCAUGCAUGGUGUCUAGCUGUUGUCUAGAAUUUCCCCAGGCAUUCUCCAAAACCUGGAAGUUUCCAUGGGAGAACCAGUGGCAUACAUUCUACACCUGGCUACAUAACAACUCACUUGCCAGUAGAAGUGUAUCUUUCAAAGUAAUUACUCAGUUAAGGUAUUUUCAGACUCGGUGUUCAGGACUGAAAUUGCUGGUAGCAAGGGUGGAUAACCUAAUUGAAAACACUCUUACUACAAAGCAUCUAAAAUACUAGAUAGAAUACAACAAACCUCUCUUUAAAUGCACAUUUAAACCAGCAAGACCUAAUUAUUUCAGUAACCUAGAGGUUUAGGGAUUUUAAGAAGUCCUACUUCGUCCCUGUGGAUAAAGUUUGUCAUGAAGUUUGCCUUUGAAAAGUGAGAGACAUGCAGACGAAUGGAUAGAGAAGAUGUGGGGUGAGUGUGCGUGUGUAUUAGAAUGUUAGCCAUAAAAAAUAAAUGAAAUGAUGCCUUUUGUAGCAACACAGAAAGACCUAGAGAUUUUCAUUCUAAAUGAAAUAAGCCAAAUAGAGAAAGACAAAUACCAUAUGAAAUUAUUUAUAUGUGGAAUCUGGAAAAAAAAAGGACAUGAAUGAAUUAUUUACAAAACAGAAAUAGACUCACAGACUUAGAAAACAAACCAAAGGGGAAAAGAAUAAAUUGGGAAUUUGGGAUGAACAUAUACACACUAUUAUGUGUAAAAUAGAAAACCAACAAGGACCUCCUGUAUAGCACAGGGAACUAUAUUCAAUAUUUUGUAGUAACCUAUAAGGGAAAAUUUAUAUAUAUCUGAAUUAUUGUGCUGUACAGCUGAAACUAACCCAACAUUGUAAAUCAGCUAUACUUCAGUGUAAAAAAGUGAACAACAUAAAAUUAGAAUUUCUAAAGUCACCUUCUUAAA
Molecule: long non-coding RNA, 2934 nt
Filed under: Sus scrofa (pig)
Lineage: Eukaryota; Metazoa; Chordata; Mammalia; Artiodactyla; Suidae
Description: lncRNA (ENSSSCG00040013235.1)
Source: RNAcentral